Molecule: ribosomal RNA, 402 nt
Filed under: uncultured prokaryote
Description: bacterial SSU rRNA
Rfam family: Bacterial small subunit ribosomal RNA
Source: RNAcentral
UAAGGAAUAUUAGAAAUGGACGAAAGUCUGAUCUAGCAACACCGCGUGUGCGAAGAAGGCCUUCGGGUUGUAAAGCACUUUUUGGAAGGAUUAGGAAGGAAUGUACUUCCAGAAUAAGUCUCGGCUAACUACGUGCCAGCAGCCGCGGUAACACGUAGGAGGCAAACGUUAUCCGGAUUUACUGGGCGUAAAGCGCGUGUAGGUGGUUUUGUAAGUAGGGCGUGAAAGCUCCUGGCUCAACUGGGAGAGGCCGUUCUAAACUGCAGAGCUAGAGGAUGGUAGAGGGAGGUGGAAUUCCGGGUGUAGCGGUGGAAUGCGCAGAUAUCCGGAGGAACACCAGUGGCGAAAGCGGCCUCCUGGACCACUCCUGACACUCAGACGCGAAAGCUAGGGUAGCAAACG